Molecule: ribosomal RNA, 63 nt
Filed under: Clostridium sp. 28_17
Lineage: Bacteria; Bacillati; Bacillota; Clostridia; Eubacteriales; Clostridiaceae
Description: partial 23S ribosomal RNA
Source: RNAcentral
GUGUAAGUGCAGCAAUGCAUUAAGCUGACCAAUACUAAUAAAUCGAGGGCUUAACCACAAAAC